ACUAUUUUGACAGAAAAAUGUGAUGAUUUUAGAAGUCAUUAAUAUAUAAAUUUAUUAUAUAUAUAGUA
Molecule: transfer RNA, 68 nt
Filed under: Sphingulus mus
Lineage: Eukaryota; Metazoa; Arthropoda; Insecta; Lepidoptera; Sphingidae
Description: tRNA-Leu
Source: RNAcentral